This 448-nucleotide ribosomal RNA is filed under the name uncultured Methanosaeta sp. RNAcentral describes it as "bacterial SSU rRNA". It matches the Rfam family "Archaeal small subunit ribosomal RNA", at positions 889 to 1338 of the family's 1478-position model. The record is from RNAcentral. Lineage: Archaea; Methanobacteriati; Methanobacteriota; Methanomicrobia; Methanotrichales; Methanotrichaceae.
UAGAGCCUGCGGUUUAAUUGGAUUCAACGCCGAAAUCUCACCGGGGCGACAGCAAUAUGAAGGUCAGGCUGAAGACCUUACCCGAUUAGCUGAGAGGUGGUGCAUGGCCGUCGUCAGUUCGUACUGUGAAGCAUCCUGUUAAGUCAGGCAACGAGCGAGACCCACGUCCACAGUUGCCAGCAUACCCUCCGGGGUGAUGGGUACACUGUGGAGACCGCCGCUGCUAAAGCGGAGGAAGGAGUGGGCAACGGUAGGUCAGUAUGCCCCGAAUCUCCCGGGCUACACGCGGGCUACAAUGGUUGGUACAAUGGGCAUCUACCCCGAAAGGGGAAGGAAAUCUCUUAAAGCCAAUCGUAGUUCGGAUUGAGGGCUGCAACUCGCCCUCAUGAAGCUGGAAUCCGUAGUAAUCGCGUUUCAACAGAACGCGGUGAAUACGUCCCUGCUCCUU